RNAcentral lists this ribosomal RNA (496 nucleotides) under uncultured bacterium. RNAcentral describes it as "partial 16S ribosomal RNA". It matches the Rfam family "Bacterial small subunit ribosomal RNA", at positions 28 to 507 of the family's 1533-position model. The record is from RNAcentral.
GAUGAACGCUGGCGGCGUGCCUAAUACAUGCAAGUAGAACGCUGAAGGAGGAGCUUGCUCUUUCCGGAUGAGUUGCGAACGGGUGAGUAACGCGUAGGUAACCUGCCUGGUAGCGGGGGAUAACUAUUGGAAACGAUAGCUAAUACCGCAUAACAGUAGAUAUUGCAUGAUAUUUGCUUGAAAUGGGCAAUUGCUCCACUACCAGAUGGACCUGCGUUGUAUUAGCUAGUUGGUGAGGUAACGGCUCACCAAGGCGACGAUACAUAGCCGACCUGAGAGGGUGAUCGGCCACACUGGGACUGAGACACGGCCCAGACUCCUACGGGAGGCAGCAGUAGGGAAUCUUCGGCAAUGGACGGAAGUCUGACCGAGCAACGCCGAGUGAGUGAAGAAGGUUUUCGGAUCUUAAAGCUCUGUUGUAAGAGAAGAACGAGUGUGAGAGUGGAAAGUUCACACUGUGACGGUAUCUUACCAGAAAGGGACGGCUAACUACGUG